AGCUUAGUACGUUCCGAUUGCCAUCGAUUGUUGCGGGCAACAUCGGGAGGCGACAUCGCUCGUGGCGACUGAUGGCUUUUGGCAACGGAACGGCGAGGCCUCGUGCAAGUAGCGCCGCAAGGUGCCGUGCGCAUGGGGCUAAGCUAAGUACGUGCCGAUUGCCAUCGGUUGUUGUGAGUUGUGUCUGGCAUCGCUCGUGGCGGCUGAUGGCUUUUGGCAACGGAACGGCGAGGCCUCGUGCAAGUAGCGCCGCAAGGUGCCGUGCGCAUGGGGCUAAGCCCAGUAUGUUCCGAUUGCCAUCAUUGUUGCGGGCAACAUCGGGAGGCGACAUCGCUCGUGGCGGCUGAUGGCUUUUGGCAGCGGAACUGCGAGGCCUCGUGCAAGUAGCGCCGCAAGGUGCCGUGCGCACGGGGCGUAAGCUAAGUACGUGCCGAUUGCCAUCAGUUGUU
This 449-nucleotide long non-coding RNA is filed under the name Nicotiana tabacum (common tobacco). Its description in RNAcentral is "long non-coding RNA (NTAB_LNC000865)". Lineage: Eukaryota; Viridiplantae; Streptophyta; Magnoliopsida; Solanales; Solanaceae. The record is from RNAcentral.